GUGGGGAAUUUUGGACAAUGGGCGCAAGCCUGAUCCAACAAUGCCGCGUGCAGGAAGAAGGCCUUCGGGUUGUAAACUGCUUUUGUACGGAACGAAACGGUCCUGGUUAAUACCUGGGGCUAAUGACGGUACCGUAAGAAUAAGCUCCGGCUAACUACGUGCCAGCAGCCGCGGUAAUACGUAGGGUGCAAGCGUUAAUCGGAAUUACUGGGCGUAAAGCGUGCGCAGGCGGUUUUGUAAGACAGGCGUGAAAUCCCCGGGCUCAACCUGGGAAUUGCGCUUGUGACUGCAAGGCUGGAGUGCGGCAGAGGGGGAUGGAAUUCCGCGUGUAGCAGUGAAAUGCGUAGAUAUGCGGAGGAACACCGAUGGCGAAGGCAAUCCCCUGGGCCUGCACUGACGCUCAUGCACGAAAGCGUGGGGAGCAAACAGGAUUAGAAACCCUAGUAGUCC
RNAcentral lists this ribosomal RNA (450 nucleotides) under uncultured bacterium. Its description in RNAcentral is "partial 16S ribosomal RNA". It matches the Rfam family "Bacterial small subunit ribosomal RNA", at positions 354 to 796 of the family's 1533-position model. The record is from RNAcentral.